This 329-nucleotide unclassified non-coding RNA is filed under the name soil metagenome. RNAcentral's name for it is "partial contains 5.8S ribosomal RNA, internal transcribed spacer 2, and large subunit ribosomal RNA". The stretch from base 1 to 120 matches the Rfam family "5.8S ribosomal RNA", at positions 35 to 154 of the family's 154-position model. The record is from RNAcentral.
GAUGAAGAACGUAGCGAAGUGCGAUAAGUAAUGUGAAUUGCAGAAUUCCGUGAAUCAUCGAAUCUUUGAACGCACAUUGCGCCCCCUGGUAUUCCGGGGGGCAUGCCUGUCCGAGCGUCAUUACAACCCUCAAGCUCAGCUUGGUGUUGGGCCCCGCCGCCCCGGCGGGCCCUAAAGUCAGUGGCGGUGCCGUCCGGCUCCGAGCGUAGUAAUUCUUCUCGCUCUGGAGGUCCGGUCGUGUGCUCGCCAGCAACCCCCAAUUUUUUUCAGGUUGACCUCGGAUCAGGUAGGGAUACCCGCUGAACUUAAGCAUAUCAAUAAGCGGAGGA